AUGGCAACGGCGGCGACAAAAUGGCGGCGGGGCCGGAAGUGGAGGGGCAGGAGGGCGGAAGUGCGUAGCGCGGAACCGGAAGUGCCCCUAAAGGAGAACCAAAAGAGCGUCUGGAGGAGAACCGGAAGCGUGUCCAGUGAAGGACCGGAAGUGUGCCUGAAAAAGAACGGAAGCGUGCUGCACGUGACCGGAAGUGUGUCGCACAGCGCCGGAAAGUGGCAAAAAAUGGCGGCGCGCAGCGGAGGCACUGGAGCCACGCGGCUCCGGAGCUCCCGGGAACGGCGGAGGGGGCGGGGCCAGGGGGCGGAGCCAGCACGAAGGGGGGCGGGGCGGAGCGGAGAGGGGGAGGGGCGCGUUUACAUCCCCGGUCGCGGCCCCCCGCCCGGUCCCGACGAGGAAAUGGUGGUGGAUACCUCCGCCUAUAGGCUGCUGCACCAUGCGGGCACCGGUACGGCCGUGGGGCGGCUCUGUGGGGCGGUUAUGGGGCUUUAUGGAGUGGUUAUGGGGUACUGUGGGGCUCUAUGGGGCGGUUAUGGGGCUCAGUGGGGCAGGUAUGGGGCAGUGUGGGGCAGCUAUGGGGUUCAAUGGGGCACAAUGGGCUCAGUGGGGCAGCUGUGGGGCUCAGUGGGGCAGCUAUGGGGCUCAAUGAGGCUCAGUGGGGCAGUUAUGGGGCUUAGGGGGGCUGUUACCGCAUCCAGUGGGGCGCUGUGGGUCACUUGUGGGGCUGUGUUUGUCACUUCCGGGGUGCUGUGGGUCACUUCCGGGGCUGUGGUCACUUCUGGGGUUGUGUUUGUCACCUGUGGGGCGCUGUGGGUCACUUGUGGGGCGCU
RNAcentral lists this long non-coding RNA (830 nucleotides) under Phasianus colchicus (ring-necked pheasant). Its description in RNAcentral is "lncRNA (ENSPCLG00000016550.1)". Lineage: Eukaryota; Metazoa; Chordata; Aves; Galliformes; Phasianidae. The record is from RNAcentral.